GGCAGGAUAGAGUAAAGGAAAUUCGUUAGGCUCAUUACCUAAAGAUGAUGGUUCGACUCCAUCUCCUGCAUCCA
Molecule: transfer RNA, 74 nt
Filed under: Lachnospiraceae bacterium
Lineage: Bacteria; Bacillati; Bacillota; Clostridia; Lachnospirales; Lachnospiraceae
Also listed under: 1 other name
Description: tRNA-Met
Rfam family: tRNA
About the family: Transfer RNA (tRNA) molecules are approximately 80 nucleotides in length.
Source: RNAcentral